CACCGGCCUCCCCGCGGCAGCGACAGGGCCGCAGUUCCGCAGCUGCCGGGCAGGGGGCGCCGCGCCACAACGUACGGGCAGCCGGGCACAGCGACGGCAACCAGCCCGGGCUCGGCAGAGCGAAGAGGAGCCGGCAGCCCGCGGCGCCGAGCCCGGCUCCGGCUGCAGGCGGCUGGAUCCGGCAACCCGCGUGCCGCUCUCUCGAUGAAGGUGGUGGUGGAGCGGGCGGUGCCCUCAGCCCCAGAAGGGCGUAUUCAAAUUCCUAAAGAAAGCUUUGAAAGAGAUCCAAGGAGGCAAUCACAUGCAUGUGCAACUAUUUUUUUACCAGGCAAGAAUAUAUGGAAUGUGGAUGGAGUUUCAGCAUAGCUCUGCAAAUCUGUCCAGUGGGGAUCAGGGGAGGAUUCAUGUGAAGUUUGUUUCUCAUUGAAGAAUAACAAAAUGCCACAAAACAUAAGUUUUUGAGCUUGUAAAUGCCUGUGUUCUUUUCUUGGACACUAGCCCCAAACCAAGCUAUCAGUAUAGGCGAGUAUGUAUACGUUCCUAACAAACACUUUACAUAAGAAUAUGAAAUGCUAGAUAAUGUACACUAAAAAGCUGGAAAAGAUUUGAAGUGAAAUGAAAAGCCGCAAAUUCCAACAGUAAAUAUAUUUUGAACAGUUUACACACUUUAAUAGUGUAUCUAUAUAUUCUUCCUCCUGACUU
Long non-coding RNA from Pezoporus flaviventris, 702 nucleotides. RefSeq lists it as uncharacterized. Lineage: Eukaryota; Metazoa; Chordata; Aves; Psittaciformes; Psittacidae. The transcript is spliced from 3 exons. The record is from RefSeq and is a predicted model, not a curated record.